RNAcentral lists this ribosomal RNA (540 nucleotides) under uncultured bacterium. Its description in RNAcentral is "bacterial SSU rRNA". It matches the Rfam family "Bacterial small subunit ribosomal RNA", at positions 8 to 526 of the family's 1533-position model. The record is from RNAcentral.
AGAGUUUGAUCAUGGCUCAGAUUGAACGCUGGCGGCAGGCCUAACACAUGCAAGUCGAGCGGCAGCGGGAAAGUAGCUUGCUACUUUUGCCGGCGAGCGGCGGACAGGUGAGUAAUGCCUGGGAAAUUGCCCAGUCGAGGGGGAUAACACUUGGAAACAGGUGCUAAUACCGCAUAACAGUUUAUGCCGCAUGGCAUAAGAGUGAAAGGCGCUUUCGGGUGUCGCUGAUGGAUGGACCCGCGGUGCAUUAGCUAGUUGGUGAGGUAACGGCUCACCAAGGCCACGAUGCAUAGCCGACCUGAGAGGGUGAUCGGCCACACUGGGACUGAGACACGGCCCAGACUCCUACGGGAGGCAGCAGCGGGGAAUAUUGCACAAUGGGGGAAACCCUGAUGCAGCCAUGCCGCGUGUGUGAAGAAGGCCUUCGGGUUGUAAAGCACUUUCAGCGAGGAGGAAAGGUUGGUGCCUAAUACGUAUCAACUGUGACGUUACUCGCAGAGGAAGCACCGGCUAACUCCGUGCCAGCCGCCGCGGUAAUUC